AAACCAGCACCUCAAGUGGUCAGGAUGAUUAUUGGGCCUAAAGCAUCCGUAGCCUGCUCUGUAAGUUUUCGGUUAAAUCUGUACGCUUAACGUACAGGCUGCCGAGAAUACUGCAGAGCUAGGGAGUGGGAGAGGUAGACGGUACUCGGGAGGAAGUGGUAAAAUGCUUUGAUCUCUCGAUGACCACCUGUGGCGAAGGCGGUCUACCAGAACACGUCCGACGGUGAGGGAUGAAAGCUGGGGGAGCAAACCGGAUUAGAAACCCCGGUAGUCC
Molecule: ribosomal RNA, 274 nt
Filed under: uncultured bacterium
Lineage: Bacteria
Description: partial 16S ribosomal RNA
Rfam family: Archaeal small subunit ribosomal RNA
Source: RNAcentral